RNAcentral lists this ribosomal RNA (459 nucleotides) under uncultured bacterium. Its description in RNAcentral is "partial 16S ribosomal RNA". It matches the Rfam family "Bacterial small subunit ribosomal RNA", at positions 338 to 795 of the family's 1533-position model. The record is from RNAcentral.
CCUACGGGAGGCAGCAGUGAGGAAUAUUGGUCAAUGGGCGCGAGCCUGAACCAGCCAAGUCGCGUGAGGGAAGACGGCCCUAUGGAUUGUAAACUUCUUUUGUCUGGGAGUAAAACAUGCCACGCGUGGCGUUCUGUGUGUACCCGAAGAAUAAGCAUCGGCUAACUCCGUGCCAGCAGCCGCGGUAAUACGGAGGAUGCGAGCGUUAUCCGGAUUUAUUGGGUUUAAAGGGUGCGUAGGCGGAAGAUCAAGUCAGUGGUAAAAUUUAGAGGCUCAACCUCUUCGAGCCGUUGAAACUGGUUGUCUUGAGUAAAGGAGAGGUGUGCGGAAUGCGUGGUGUAGCGGUGAAAUGCAUAGAUAUCACGCAGAACUCCGAUUGCGAAGGCAGCAUACCGGCGCUCAACUGACACUCAGGCACGAAAGUGUGGGUAUCGAACAGGAUUAGAUACCUUGGUAGUC